UAGAGUUUGAUCCUGGCUCAGGAUGAACGCUAGCUGGAGGCUUAAUACAUGCAAGUCGAGCGGGAUUGGUAGCAAUACCAUGAGAGCGGCGCACGGGUGAGUAACGCGUACACGACCUACCUUUGACUGGGGGAUAGCCCUGGGAAACUGGGAUUAAUACCGCAUAUAAUUCUCGAUAAUAAAGGUUGGGAAUGAAAGUUCAGGCGGUCAGAGAUGGGUGUGCGUCUGAUUAGCUAGUUGGUGAGGUAACGGCUCACCAAGGCGAUGAUCAGUAGGGGGCGUGAGAGCGUGGUCCCCCACACGGGUACUGAGACACGGACCCGACUCCUACGGGAGGCAGCAGUAAGGAAUAUUGGUCAAUGGGCGAAAGCCUGAACCAGCCAUCCAGCGUGCAGGAAGAAGGCCCUAUGGGUUGUAAACUGCUUUUGUCAGGGAAUAAACCUGUGGAUUCACUCCGCAGCUGAAGGUACCUGAAGAAUAAGCACCGGCUAACUCCGUGCCAGCAGCCCCGGUCAA
RNAcentral lists this ribosomal RNA (516 nucleotides) under uncultured bacterium. RNAcentral describes it as "bacterial SSU rRNA". It matches the Rfam family "Bacterial small subunit ribosomal RNA", at positions 1 to 524 of the family's 1533-position model. The record is from RNAcentral.